Molecule: ribosomal RNA, 662 nt
Filed under: uncultured Wolbachia sp.
Lineage: Bacteria; Pseudomonadati; Pseudomonadota; Alphaproteobacteria; Rickettsiales; Anaplasmataceae
Description: bacterial SSU rRNA
Rfam family: Bacterial small subunit ribosomal RNA
Source: RNAcentral
GAGUUUGAUCAUGGCUCAGAACGAACGCUGGCGGCAGGCUUAACACAUGCAAGUCGAGCGCGUAGCAAUACGAGCGGCAGACGGGUGAGUAACGCGUGGGAAUCUACCCGGAACUACGGAAUAACAUGAAGAAAUUUAUGCUAAUACCGUAUACGCCCUUUUGGGGAAAGAUUUAUUGGUUUCGGAUGAGCCCGCGUUGGAUUAGCUUGUUGGUAGGGUAAUGGCCUACCAAGGCGACGAUCCAUAGCUGGUCUGAGAGGAUGAUCAGCCACACUGGGACUGAGACACGGCCCAGACUCCUACGGGAGGCAGCAGUGGGGAAUAUUGGACAAUGGGCGCAAGCCUGAUCCAGCCAUGCCGCGUGAGUGAUGAAGGCCUUAGGGUUGUAAAGCUCUUUCACCGGUGAAGAUAAUGACGGUAACCGGAGAAGAAGCCCCGGCUAACUUCGUGCCAGCAGCCGCGGUAAUACGAAGGGGGCUAGCGUUGUUCGGAUUUACUGGGCGUAAAGCGCACGCAGGCGGAUAUUUAAGUCAGAGGUGAAAUCCCGGGGCUCAACCCUGGAAUUGCCUUUGAUACUGGGUAUCUGGAGUACAGAAGAGGUAAGUGGAAUUCCGAGUGUAGAGGUGAAAUUCGUAGAUAUUCGGAGGAACACCAGUGGCGAA